Hydra vulgaris (swiftwater hydra) is the source of this 402-nucleotide long non-coding RNA. RefSeq lists it as uncharacterized. Lineage: Eukaryota; Metazoa; Cnidaria; Hydrozoa; Anthoathecata; Hydridae. The record is from RefSeq and is a predicted model, not a curated record.
AUUUUAGUUUGAGUUACUCAAGCAUAAUUUGAAUUUUAAAGUUCUUAUUUCAUUGUUUUGCUAUUUGGUUUUAUGAGCUAAAUAUGUUAAUCAAUUAAUUUUAUUCUUGUUUGUAGAGAUGUUAUUCUCAACGAGCUUGCAGAAAUAAAAGUUCUUUUAAAAGAAGUUAUAGAAAUUAAGUUUCAGGCUACUGGGGUGAAGUUGCUAGAAUCAGUGAACGAAGUGGUUACACUAGAUAAUAAACUAAAAGAUAAAACCGAGUAUACUAAUUUGCUUGAUAGUUUAAAAAAGAUUGGUGGUGGAAAGCCAAGAGAACAUGUUUUUUUGAUCAUGAAAAGGUUAUUUUCGAAUCAGUUACAGUCCAAAUUUAAUCGAAAAGGAAAUGGGGAAAAGAUAAGCAUA